This 248-nucleotide ribosomal RNA is filed under the name uncultured Lachnospiraceae bacterium. Its description in RNAcentral is "partial 16S ribosomal RNA". It matches the Rfam family "Bacterial small subunit ribosomal RNA", at positions 524 to 771 of the family's 1533-position model. Lineage: Bacteria; Bacillati; Bacillota; Clostridia; Lachnospirales; Lachnospiraceae. The record is from RNAcentral.
UACGUAGGGGGCAAGCGUUAUCCGGAUUUACUGGGUGUAAAGGGAGCGUAGGUGGUAAUGCAAGUCAGAAGUGAAAGCCCUUUGCUUAACGAAGGGACUGCUUUUGAAACUGUAUAACUAGAGUGCAGGAGAGGUAAGUGGAAUUCCUAGUGUAGCGGUGAAAUGCGUAGAUAUUAGGAGGAACACCGGUGGCGAAGGCGGCUUACUGGACUGUAACUGACACUGAGGCUCGAAAGCGUGGGGAGCAA